This is a long non-coding RNA of Arabidopsis thaliana (thale cress), 249 nucleotides long. RefSeq annotates it as other RNA. The record is from RefSeq. The transcript has a single exon. NCBI's taxonomy places the organism in Eukaryota, Viridiplantae, Streptophyta, Magnoliopsida, Brassicales, Brassicaceae.
AGCCUUCCUAAUCACAUGAGAAGCAAAGAUAUAUAAGCUAAUUUAUUAUGUUGAAGCUUCAGUAGCUUUAGUCCUCAAGGAAAUGAGCCAUUAGGUACGCGUUGGACUUGUGUCUCAAGUAAUUUUCAUUUGCUCAUGAAGUUUCGUGUCUCAGUCUCUCACCCACUUUUAGUCCACCUCCUAAGUACACGUAUGAUUGUUUUUAAAUCGCCUUUUCAAUGUUUUCAUAAUCACCUCUUCGCUCUAAAU